This is a long non-coding RNA of Triticum dicoccoides, 150 nucleotides long. RefSeq lists it as uncharacterized. Lineage: Eukaryota; Viridiplantae; Streptophyta; Magnoliopsida; Poales; Poaceae. The record is from RefSeq and is a predicted model, not a curated record. The transcript is spliced from 3 exons.
CGUGUGCGCUUCCGAUCUGAAAGAUAUCGUCCGAUUCUCCUUCUAUUGAUUCUUUUCCGAUCGAGAUGUACGGGUCCAUGUGUCUACAUACAUAGAUUCUGUUCAUGGAUUAACGAAAAUGUGCAAGAGCUCUAUCUGCCUCUGCCAUUC